GAUGAACGCUGGCGGCGUGCCUAAUACAUGCAAGUCGAGCGAACAGACGAGGAGCUUGCUCCUCUGACGUUAGCGGCGGACGGGUGAGUAACACGUGGAUAACCUACCUAUAAGACUGGGAUAACUUCGGGAAACCGGAGCUAAUACCGGAUAAUAUAUUGAACCGCAUGGUUCAAUAGUGAAAGACGGUUUUGCUGUCACUUAUAGAUGGAUCCGCGCCGCAUUAGCUAGUUGGUAAGGUAACGGCAUACCAAGGCAACGAUGCGUAGCCGACCUGAGAGGGUGAUCGGCCACACUGGAACUGAGACACGGUCCAGACUCCUACGGGAGGCAGCUGUAGGGAAUCUUCCGCAAUGGGCGAAAGCCUGACGGAGCAACGCCGCGUGAGUGAUGAAGGUCUUCGGAUCGUAAAACUCUGUUAUUAGGGAAGAACAAAUGUGUAAGUAACUAUGCACGUCUUGACGGUACCUAAUCAGAAAGCCACGGCUAACUACGUG
RNAcentral lists this ribosomal RNA (497 nucleotides) under uncultured bacterium. RNAcentral describes it as "partial 16S ribosomal RNA". It matches the Rfam family "Bacterial small subunit ribosomal RNA", at positions 28 to 507 of the family's 1533-position model. The record is from RNAcentral.